This 944-nucleotide long non-coding RNA is filed under the name Gopherus agassizii (Agassiz's desert tortoise). Its description in RNAcentral is "lncRNA (ENSGAGG00000009557.1)". The record is from RNAcentral. Lineage: Eukaryota; Metazoa; Chordata; Testudines; Testudinidae.
CAACACAGAACUCAACUGGGAACACGCGAGAUAUUCUCCGCUCCCUCCCCCACCUGCAUGGCUGGGAAGGGGCAAACGCCAGCCCCACAUCCUAGCCCCAGGGGCUGCAAGGAAAGCUGCUCUCCGCAUGGAGCUACCCCCCAGGCCCACUGCUUGGCUGAAGGCACCUGCUCCCCUGGCCCACCCCGAACACCUGAAACCACCGCUGGCUGCAGAGCAGAGCUAUCAAAAGUCAGGAAACGCCCAGGUGAACCUGGUCCCUCUGCACACUGAAGAUGAAGAAGCAGAUUUGGUAUUCCACCAUCACUACGCACCAUACCCCACUGCCACUCCCGCCCCCCCAUGGCAGCCCCUGGCGCAGCCUCCAGCUUGGGCACAGGAGCCCCCUAGCAUACGCCACGUCAGCCUGGACCCACACCCAGCCCCAGCAAGGAGGACUCAGGAUGACAAAGUGGUCCCUCCGCCCCCGCCGCCCAGCGCCACGGGGACAGUGGGAGCCGACGUCCCGCCGGCUGCAGAGUAUUAUGACUACACCCAGGGCAAGCUGUGAGCCUGGCUCUGUGCGUCCUGGGAGCUCUCCUCUUCUCCUGCACCCCCUGUCCCUGCCUGGCUCGGGGAUCCCUGCUGCAGCAGGCGUCCCCCCUGGCCCAGCGAAGCUGGUGCAUCGGGCCCUGACAGACCGCUCUGUCCUUCGUCCGCGCUCGUUAACUGGACUAGCUGUGGAAGCGACGGGCAACCUCCUGCUGCGUCCUCUCCCAUCCCUUGCCUCGCCCUGCCUCACCCCAUGGAGCCGGAAGGGAAGCUUGCCUGGACUCGCCUCUCAGCUUGCCUGGACUCCUCUGUCAGAUAUUAAGAAGGUGCUUCAUGGUCUAGCUGUUUCCAUGACGUGGCUGUCCCCUGACGUGGCAGCUUCUCCUGCCCCAGGCAGGAAGAGGUGCUAUUAG